UACGUAGGAUGCAAGCGUUAUCCGGAAUCACUGGGCGUAAAGCGUCCGCAGGGGGGAAUGUAAGUCUUUUAUUAAAUCCCGAUGCUCAACAUCGGAUCGGUAAGAGAAACUACAUUUCUAGAGGAUGGGAGAGGCUAGUGGAAUUCUCGGUGUAGGGGUAAAAUCCGUAGAUAUCGAGAGGAACACCAAAAGCAGAAGGCAGCUAGCUGGAACAUUCCUGACCCUCAGGGACGAAAGCGUGGGGAGCGAAAAGG
Molecule: ribosomal RNA, 254 nt
Filed under: uncultured bacterium
Lineage: Bacteria
Description: partial 16S ribosomal RNA
Rfam family: Bacterial small subunit ribosomal RNA
Source: RNAcentral